GUAGGAACACGACUCACGCCCAGUGCUCUCCAGCGUAUUUACUGACUGAAAAACUCGCCCUGCUGUAGGGCGAUUGAAUUUCUGUUGUGAUCGAGCAAUCUCGGUAACAAGUGGUCAAGCAUUGAGGGCUGGAUUCGCGCCACCUUAUCGUAGUAUCGCCGCACGACCAGCGUCUACACUGCUUGUCCGCAUCUACUCAUCAUCCCUGCGACCCCUUCCCCCAACCCCCUCCCACUUCCAUCCUCUCUCCCCUCUACCUGCUACAUCGGAUCCCGAGGCGGCGCAGCCACCUGUGUGUGUGAUUGCGUUUACCUGUCAGGUAAAGACAACGAGGCGGUGACGACAGCUUGCUUACCUUGAUCAGCUACGCCCACCGGUGGGCGGGAGAGAUAGGAAUCGCGCGCAGGCAGUGCCUUAGCGUGGGUGAAUAUCAGAAGACAAUAUAAGAGCAUCGAAGAUUCCCGUACUCGUUGUAUCCGUGUUUCUCGUGAAGGCAUUCUAGCUUCCUGCGAUCGGAGGAGAAGGCAGGCGGUAGAGUAGGUGACAUCAGAUGCUUCCGGUACUUUCUCUGUCACUGUGUUUCUCGACUAGGCUAUCUUGACUUUACACGGUAGGCAGUGGAGACAACUGAGAAUUUCUGAGAAAACAGUGUUCUCGAGAGAACAGAUCUUCUGUGUUCUAUUUCUCUACGUGUUUCUGCCGCGGAACGUCAUCCUGGCCUCCUACAAUCCGGCGUGGUCUUUCGGUAAUUUCCGUGGAGGAGGAAGAGGAGGAACCGGAGGAGGAGGAGCAGGAGGAGGCAGCGUACAGAUUAUAACCAACAUGUUUGAUCAACUGAAAGAACUGGUCAGUGACGUCACGAGUCAAGUGUUGCAGAAGAAUGUGAAGGCUGCGAGCGACGUCGAGUAUCCGGCGUACGGCGUGACGGGGCCGCACAAGGAUGCCAAGCAGGCGGGCGGCGACCGCAAGCUGGCACAGAGCGCACAGAUGUACCACUACCAGCAUCAGAAGCAGCAGAUGAUUGCGCUCGAGAAGGCAAGCAGCGAGAUGAAGGACAAUGUGUCGGAUGAUGAGAGCGGGGAGGAGGACGAGGAGGGAGACUACACCGUCUACGAGUGUCCAGGCCUCGCACCGACCGGCGAGAUGGAGGUGAGAAACCCGUUGUUCACCGACACCAGAACACCGCACGCGAGCGACAACGGGGAGGAGCAACGCGACUCCGACCCGUAGAUUCCUUCCCCGCCCACCAGGGGGCGCCGCUGCCACGCCGAGGAGCGUCCGCGCGCCGCUGCCGAGUCGCUGAUCACGCCUACCGAGGGAGCCAGGUUGCCGGGGUCGUCGUUUCGAGCUGCCUCUUGUUGUUUUUUAAAUCGUCGUUGUUGUCGACUAACCAGAACUAACGGGUCGCGAGACAUUUGGUUGUUUUUUUGCAUUUUUUAAUCGCACGACAGACAACUAACCACCACCUCCCCAGGGGUCUCACUCAUCGAGAAUUUUUUUAUUUUUAAAUGAGUCACGUACUUGUCGUGCACGGAGCAGACGAAAACGACGCCCAGACCCUUCCCGAUAUCCCGCUCUCCCGCUAUCCCGCUCGCAAGUCACACGGCUUCUCGAUUUGUUAUUAUUAGGAUUAUUAUCAUUGUGAUUGUUUAUGUUGUUGUUAUUAUUAUUAUUAUUAUUAUUGGAAGCUAAAUCAUUCCGGCGAGCGAACGAUGCGGUAUCAGGCGCGCAGGAGGCGUGUCGGCAUAGGCGAGAUGCGCGCGGCAGUGGUGCCCUCUAGUGGGAAAAAUGAGUACCGUAGAGAUGUUGACGAUGGUCGUUAGUUUAAUUCCCCGGAAACCUGCUGGGUGACACUAUCGGGAAUUCUCCCCCCCCCCCCUGCAUUCCGAGAUUUUUAACGCGCCCCGACGUGACAAGGAAGUGGACGUCGGCGGUUUUUCCCCCACUUUUAAACAAAAAAUCUCUGCGGAUUUCGCUCUCGGACAUUCCGCGCAGAGUCGGCGUGGUGGUUUUUAUCUGGUCGCUAUGGCGACGACCGACCAAUACUCUUGAUUCGUUACCGGAAAAUCCUAGACGUUGACAUGUACAUUGUAAGAUAUAUAUCUCAAGGGCAGCCCCCAGGUUUGGCUGGCCCGAAAACCAACGCAGGUUUACGGCGUCAGUCCACUGCGCCCAGUUCAAGACUGGCUGCCCCCCCCCCAAUCCACGUCCCAUGAUUCUACCCCAAAGAUGUGUGUAUAUACGGUAUAUAUAUAUGAAUGAAUAUAUAUAUAUAUAUAUGUUGUUGUAUAUUGUAUAUUUUAUCAAGUGUGAGAGAUACAAAAAGAGAAACGGAGAGAGAGAGGAAGAGAAAGUCGAAUCGAUUCGAAAUCAGGACUUGGUACAUUCCGUGUAGACCACCUGCUGUGACGUAACUGCCGGGGCGCAUACUGUCACCGUCACUACCCCCUCGCAGAGAAAAUCCGAUAACCGGAUUCACCCCCUCUACGCGGGUCUAAAGUGAGAACGCAAGUCAUUCCUCGAGUUGGAAGCUAUUAAUAUAUAUUUGAAAUCGCCGUGUGGGCCACAGAACGCCGCCCCUGACCCCACCCCCUACACUGUCGCCCCCGCCGCCUACACCAUCACCCCUGACCCUCAUAGCACUGCCCCGCCCCUCAGUGGGCGUGGCUGGUGUUGCGGAGGGUGGAUAAAGGGACGUCACAUCUAGUCAUGGGGGCGUGACGAUCGAACGGAGAGGCGAUCGGACGUAAUCCUGUUAGAAUGGCGGCAAAUCGAAGUGCUCGAUGGGGACCACAUGAAAGUCCAGAAUGAAGUCAUGUUGUUUUGCGGCGCCUGUCCCUCAUA
RNAcentral lists this unclassified non-coding RNA (2844 nucleotides) under Priapulus caudatus. RNAcentral's name for it is "neural proliferation differentiation and control protein 1-like, transcript variant X2". The record is from RNAcentral. Lineage: Eukaryota; Metazoa; Priapulida; Priapulimorpha; Priapulimorphida; Priapulidae.